AUUGAACGCUGGCGGCAUGCCUUACACAUGCAAGUCGAACGGUAGAGGAGCAAUCCUCGAGAGUGGCGAACGGGUGAGUAAUGCAUCGGAACGUGCCCAGUAAUGGGGGAUAGCCCGGCGAAAGCCGGAUUAAUACCGCAUACGACCUACGGGUGAAAGAGGGGGAUCGCAAGACCUCUCGUUAUUGGAGCGGCCGAUGUCAGAUUAGGUAGUUGGUGGGGUAAAGGCCUACCAAGCCAACGAUCUGUAGCUGGUCUGAGAGGACGACCAGCCACACUGGGACUGAGACACGGCCCAGACUCCUACGGAGGCAGCAGUGGGGAAUUUUGGACAAUGGGCGCAAGCCUGAUCCAGCCAUGCCGCGUGCGGGAAGAAGGCCUCGGGUUGUAAACCGCUUUUGUCAGGGAAGAAAUACUUCUGGGUUAAUACCUUCGGGAGGAUGACGGUACCUGAAGAAUAAGCACCGGCUAACUAACGUG
Molecule: ribosomal RNA, 479 nt
Filed under: uncultured bacterium
Lineage: Bacteria
Description: bacterial SSU rRNA
Rfam family: Bacterial small subunit ribosomal RNA
Source: RNAcentral